AUCUGUCACUCAGGCUCUCCGUCACGCGCUGCUCGCUGGCUCGCAGCCCCCAAGCUGCUUUGACCCGCGCAGGCCUAGGCGGUUGCGAACACCCGCCUCCUAGUCCCCACAAACGAACUUCCGGUCUUUUUCUACGUUUAUUGGUCAGUUUCUCAGACUAUCGCGUCGCGACCUUAAAGUGGAUUAGUUGGCCUUGUGGUCAGUCACAGUGACCCCUAACAAUGGGAAGUUCCAUUGGCGCCAUAAAGUGUCGGUCACUUUGUCACAGAACGUCGCGUGGUACAAUAGGCCAGUGAAGAUUCUAUUCAUCCCGCCCCAAUCUGAGGUGACGGGAAAGGGCUGGGAAAUUUCCAUUUCGGAUUAAAAUGAGGGCCGAAUUGACGGUGGCAAAACUUAAUAAAAAGCGUAGUAGACCUAACUCUGCACUUGCAGAGCUCGUACGUCAAGGAUGCAAGAGACGCUCCCACUUGUCCCUUUCGGCCGACCGCCGCAACUACGGCCGGAAAGCCGCUGCACUGGGAUUGGAGGAAAGAGGCCGUCAGUCUCAAUGAGGCCCCACCUUCCUGCCAUUGCCUGGUUGGAGGGCCGCGACGUCAGUCACUGGGACAGUAGCCACCUCUGAGACAGGCAUCUUUCGCCGGGUCCACAUUCUGCCACGCCGAAUUCUAGCCAGAUUUCACUGAUACAAAACAAAGCUAACCAAAGGAGAUUUUCCCUUCUAAGGAUCUCUCCCCACCCAUCCAUCUCUGUUUUCUCCUCUGUCUCUUUUAUCAAUAGAGGUUUGGCUGGGCGUGGUGGUGUAGAUUUGUGAUCCUAGCACUAGAUGAAUGAGCCAGUCUCAAAAAUAAAUAAAGGAAUAAAUACUACUUCAGGUUUAAAAGUGUUGACCUUCCAACUAAUCUCAUGAUCGGAAACCACAAGAAAAGAAUUUGGUGGCAAAAGUAUGGCAAUUUUUUUUUUUAAGAUAGGGACUUGCUUUGUAGUCUGGGCUAGCCUUGAACUCAGAACAUUCCUCUGCCUCAGUCUCCCGAGUGCUGAGAUUACAGGCAAAUAUUCUUUGAUCCAGAGAAUGUCCCUAUAACAGAGGUUGACUGAAAGCAAAAGGUAUCAUUUUUCUCUUUGCCAAGCUGUAACAAAGACCUAUCUUAAUUAUGCAGUAUUUAGUAUUUCAUUACUUCAAACGUUUCUGAAUUCUGUAAAGAAUAUAAUUUUUCAAAUUACUUUAAGAGUCUGAGGUUUAGCUCAGAGGCACAAGCACCUGCCUGGCAAGCGCGAAGUCAUGAGUUCCAUCCCCAGUACCAAAACUUUAAAUAAAAGUUGAUUCUGCCACACAAUUUUUUUUUUUUUGGUGGUACCGGGGAUCAAACUCAUGGUUGCGCACUUGCAAGGCAGGUGCUUAUGCCGCUGAGCUAAACCCCUAGCCCCACAUGAUUAUUUUUUAACAUAGUUAACAUUUCUUUGGCUUUCUUUGGUGAAAGAAAGAUACUAUUUUUUGUGGACAGAAUACAUUAUAUAAGUGUUCUUUCUAGAUAAAAAAAAUCUAUUGUAUAAAAGUAUAGAGAACAAUUUUGAGGUUAAUUCCAUAUACACUGUAUUUAGCAUUUGUAGAACUUAAUUAGCUUAUAUCUCGGUGCUAUUUAAGUUUUCAAGGUGUGUAUGACUAGGUCACAACCCAAACUAAGCAACAAAAAGAAGCCUGGUACUGCCCAACCCACUUCAAAGCUGGAUUAUCCAGAAUUGGUUGGACACAUCCUGAGGCAAAAACAGGUAUUGACUGGUGCAGCAUUACAAAGGAACUACUUGUCAUUCCUACCACUUAUACAGAAAUAAUUUCUGAUGCAACUCCCUGAGCACACUUAUUAAGCUCUUUAAAGAAAUGUAAUGAAUCUCAAAGCCAGAAGAAAAGGAAAUCUGGACUGAACUGAAAUGGACUGGCAGUUCCCAGUGUAUUUGAAAGAGAAAGUACACUGUCUACUCAUAGUCUCUACCUGAAGAUAGAUUGAAUAUAGACCAACCCUGAAUCUCAUCAGAAAAAUAUGCUUGAGUAAUAAUCUUUAUUUUACUUAGUCCUUUACCUGAAACAUGUUAGUAGUUUGUCAAUAUGGGAGUUAGGAACUCCCAGUCGCUUAGGUUUUGUGACUAUAACAUCACAUCUAUAUUAAGUCUAUAUUCCUAUAGUUUCACAAAUAUAAAACUAAUUGAGAAAUCAUAUCCAAUAGCAUAUUUCAUGAAUGUUUAAAAUCACCAUGUAGAGCUUAGCAAAAUGGGCACACAACUGUAAUCCCAGCACUCUAAAGGCUGAGACAGAAAGAACGCAAGUAUAAAUCCAGCCUGGUAUACACAAGGCCAGUUUGGACUACCUGGUGAAACCUUGUUUCGAAACAGCAAAACAAAACAAAAGAUAAAGAAAAAAAAAUAAAAAGGGCACAAGCUGCAUAUGUACCAGGAAGAUAAAAGCCAGCAUCUCCCGAAAAUCUGCCAUGCCAAAUCUUGGGGGACCAACCGAGAAAUCAACAAUCCAGCGUUCCUGGUUUUCUUUCUCCUUGAAAUAAAAUAUAUAUAUAUUAGAAGCUGGGUACCAUGGCAUGCAUCUAUAAUAAGAAGAUACAGUAUGGUAGCCACUGUUGAUUUCCUAUUACCUUGUUUUGAAGCCCUGUAUUGCUUUCAUUGUUUGCUUUGAUUGGUUUUAUUCUGUUCUGUUUUGUUUGACUUUAUCAUGUCUGAUGUUAUGGACACCCAUAUUGAAAAUAACAAAAGGCAUUAUGGUAGCCAUCAUUGAUUUUCUAUUGUCUUGUUUUGAAGUCCUAUAUUACUGUUUUGUUUUGAUUGGCUUAAUCUAUUUUAUUUUGUUUGGUUUUAUUCUCUUUAAAAUAAAAUUUUAAAAAUGUUUUUAAAUUAGAAUAAAA
Cavia porcellus (domestic guinea pig) is the source of this 2906-nucleotide long non-coding RNA. RefSeq lists it as uncharacterized. The transcript is spliced from 3 exons. NCBI's taxonomy places the organism in Eukaryota, Metazoa, Chordata, Mammalia, Rodentia, Caviidae. The record is from RefSeq and is a predicted model, not a curated record.